This 298-nucleotide long non-coding RNA is filed under the name Mytilus galloprovincialis (Mediterranean mussel). Lineage: Eukaryota; Metazoa; Mollusca; Bivalvia; Mytilida; Mytilidae. The record is from RNAcentral.
UGAUAACGUUUGGCUUAAGUUUUUAUGGACUUCUCCUUUUUAAUUGGCAGUGGAAAACGGUAUUUUUGUUAUUCGUUGUUUUUUUUUAUGUACGUUCUCGGUUGCUUGUUGUUUCAUUGACAUAUUUUCUCUUUUUGAAUUGGUUGUGGAAAACGGUAUUUUUGUUAUUCGUUUUUUUUUUAUUUACGUCGUCGGUUGCUUGUGUGUUUCGUUGACAUAUUUUCUCUUUUUUUAAGAUGUAUAUUCUUUUAAUGAUGUAUCGUAACUGCGGAAGGGCACACUUCAGUUAAAGAAUUUU